UACAGAGGCCUCAAGCGUUGUUCGGAUUCAUUGGGCGUAAAGGGUGCGUAGGCGGCGCGGUAAGUCGGGUGUGAAAUCCUGAGGCUUAACCUUGGGUCUGCAUUCGAUACUGGGCGGCUUGAGUCUGGUAGGGGGAUCGUGGAAUUCCUGGUGUAGCGGUGGAAUGCGCAGAUAUCAGGAGGAACACCGGUGGCGAAGGCGGGAUCCUGGGCCAGUACUGACGCUGAGGAGCGAAAGCGUGGGGAGCGAACGAGG
This 255-nucleotide ribosomal RNA is filed under the name uncultured bacterium. Its description in RNAcentral is "partial 16S ribosomal RNA". It matches the Rfam family "Bacterial small subunit ribosomal RNA", at positions 524 to 777 of the family's 1533-position model. The record is from RNAcentral.